This 1501-nucleotide ribosomal RNA is filed under the name uncultured Klebsiella sp. RNAcentral describes it as "bacterial SSU rRNA". It matches the Rfam family "Bacterial small subunit ribosomal RNA". The record is from RNAcentral. Lineage: Bacteria; Pseudomonadati; Pseudomonadota; Gammaproteobacteria; Enterobacterales; Enterobacteriaceae.
AGAGUUUGAUCCUGGCUCAGAUUGAACGCUGGCGGCAGGCCUAACACAUGCAAGUCGAGCGGUAGCACAGAGAGCUUGCUCUCGGGUGACGAGCGGCGGACGGGUGAGUAAUGUCUGGGAAACUGCCUGAUGGAGGGGGAUAACUACUGGAAACGGUAGCUAAUACCGCAUAACGUCGCAAGACCAAAGUGGGGGACCUUCGGGCCUCAUGCCAUCAGAUGUGCCCAGAUGGGAUUAGCUAGUAGGUGGGGUAACGGCUCACCUAGGCGACGAUCCCUAGCUGGUCUGAGAGGAUGACCAGCCACACUGGAACUGAGACACGGUCCAGACUCCUACGGGAGGCAGCAGUGGGGAAUAUUGCACAAUGGGCGCAAGCCUGAUGCAGCCAUGCCGCGUGUGUGAAGAAGGCCUUCGGGUUGUAAAGCACUUUCAGCGGGGAGGAAGGCGUUAAGGUUAAUAACCUUGGCGAUUGACGUUACCCGCAGAAGAAGCACCGGCUAACUCCGUGCCAGCAGCCGCGGUAAUACGGAGGGUGCAAGCGUUAAUCGGAAUUACUGGGCGUAAAGCGCACGCAGGCGGUCUGUCAAGUCGGAUGUGAAAUCCCCGGGCUCAACCUGGGAACUGCAUUCGAAACUGGCAGGCUAGAGUCUUGUAGAGGGGGGUAGAAUUCCAGGUGUAGCGGUGAAAUGCGUAGAGAUCUGGAGGAAUACCGGUGGCGAAGGCGGCCCCCUGGACAAAGACUGACGCUCAGGUGCGAAAGCGUGGGGAGCAAACAGGAUUAGAUACCCUGGUAGUCCACGCUGUAAACGAUGUCGAUUUGGAGGUUGUGCCCUUGAGGCGUGGCUUCCGGAGCUAACGCGUUAAAUCGACCGCCUGGGGAGUACGGCCGCAAGGUUAAAACUCAAAUGAAUUGACGGGGGCCCGCACAAGCGGUGGAGCAUGUGGUUUAAUUCGAUGCAACGCGAAGAACCUUACCUGGUCUUGACAUCCACAGAACUUUCCAGAGAUGGAUUGGUGCCUUCGGGAACUGUGAGACAGGUGCUGCAUGGCUGUCGUCAGCUCGUGUUGUGAAAUGUUGGGUUAAGUCCCGCAACGAGCGCAACCCUUAUCCUUUGUUGCCAGCGGUUAGGCCGGGAACUCAAAGGAGACUGCCAGUGAUAAACUGGAGGAAGGUGGGGAUGACGUCAAGUCAUCAUGGCCCUUACGACCAGGGCUACACACGUGCUACAAUGGCAUAUACAAAGAGAAGCGACCUCGCGAGAGCAAGCGGACCUCAUAAAGUAUGUCGUAGUCCGGAUUGGAGUCUGCAACUCGACUCCAUGAAGUCGGAAUCGCUAGUAAUCGUAGAUCAGAAUGCUACGGUGAAUACGUUCCCGGGCCUUGUACACACCGCCCGUCACACCAUGGGAGUGGGUUGCAAAAGAAGUAGGUAGCUUAACCUUCGGGAGGGCGCUUACCACUUUGUGAUUCAUGACUGGGGUGAAGUCGUAACAAGGUAACC